Molecule: long non-coding RNA, 1681 nt
Filed under: Solanum tuberosum (potato)
Lineage: Eukaryota; Viridiplantae; Streptophyta; Magnoliopsida; Solanales; Solanaceae
Description: long non-coding RNA (STUB_LNC001952)
Source: RNAcentral
UGGUUUGGUCCUUUCUCAAACCUCGCUCAUAGAGGGAGAUUAGUGUGCCAUGCUGCCACUUAUAAGAUGCACUACAGUUGUCAGUAUUGCUGUUUGUUUCUGCUUUUUUUAUCCAAUCAUCAUUGCUGCUCCCUUUUGCUUUUUAACUUCAUAUUUUUUGCUGGUUUCUUGAUUACAUAAAUUAUGAUACAUAAUCUUGAAUAGCCUUUUGUGUUUUACAUGAUAUGCACAAUGACAUGUGGAUCCAAGUAUGGGUUAGUGAUUUUAUCUAUUACAACUAUUUUUCAUUACAUCAUUACUUUUUACUCCCAUUUGAAUACUUGAAACUUUCUGCCGGUUUCUUUCUUGGUUCAAAUGUACUACAGAAUCUUGAAUACCCUUUUGAAUCUUACAUGAUCCAAGAUCGAUUAUUCUUUUCACGCAUUAGUCGUUCUAUCAAUCCUUACCAAUAGAUUUACUAAUGUGAGGAAUAUGAUUUAACUGUUUCAUGAUUAUGCUUUUCGGCUUUUCCUACCUUAUAUUAUGUCAGAUCGUUGUCUUUUCAGUUCGUUAAUCUGAAGAUUUGAGAUAGUUAUUCAAUUUUUCAGAGGGAUCCAAACAUAAACAUAUGGGUAUCAUUAUGCGCGGACUUCAUAUUUGAGUGAUAUAAUCAAUGGUACCAUUAUGCUUUUAUUUCAAUGAUGUUCAAUAACAUCAUAUAAUUCUCUGUUCCCUUUGCAUCUGGAAAAAAAAAUUGGUCUAGUUAUUGAGUUUUGCUAUUCUUUUAGAAAGGAGGAAAUCGAAAAAAAGCACAAGUGUGGUCUGAAAUAUUCUCUCUAUGCAUUAUGUUGGUUAAGAAGCCCAAGAUUCUUUGAAGGAAUUAAAAUUUCCCUGCAUAGCUUGCAAUACUUUAGUUUACAGUUUCGGGUUUCUGGUGCAGCUCAAAAAAACAAAUAUGAUUUAAAUGUUUUCUUGGAUUCAUGGCUCCCUACCCCUUAAAAAGGGACCUACAUUGAGAAGAAGCACAAGUGUGGUAUGAAAUAUUAUCUUUUUUUUUUAGAAAGGAUCUGAAGGCUGGUUAAGAGUGUGAUGGAGGGGUGGAAUGCGUAUAUCAUUUGUCUGCAAGAACCAAAUUAGAGGGGAAAUGGAAGAAAAGGUUAGACAAAUCUGGGAAUGUGAUGGAUCAAAUAUGCAAGAGAUUUGCAAACACUCUAUCUCCCCAUACCUCACUUGUGGGAUUACACUGGGUUUGUUGUUGGGUUAUACAGAAGAGAAGCCAAAUUUUCUUUUAAGGAAUCAAGAAUUCUGUGUGUAGCUUCAAACUCUUUAGUUAAUAGUUCUGCUUUUUGGUGCACCUUAAAAUGUGUUCAUGACAUAAAUGUUUUUGUGAAUUUGGUAGCUCCUUAGUCUUUGAAAAGGGACCUACUUCUUUGUACAUUUUGUAAUUUUGAACUCAUAACUUCCUUUUGCGAGUUGUUGAAAUGGAUACUCUUUACUCGUUCAGAAAACUGAAGAAAGUAUACUUUGCCGUUAGCUCUUCAUUUCAUAGCAUCAAGCUCUUACAAUAUCCAACCAUGAAGAAAGUUAUUUUCCUCUUGUUUAUUUAGUUUCAUUCGUACUUGAGAUCUGAGAUCAUUUUCUAAUUGGUUGACAAUGGAUUUCAGCUAAUCGUAGGAAAAAGUAUUUGUACCUAUAUUCCAAG